RNAcentral lists this ribosomal RNA (503 nucleotides) under uncultured bacterium. Its description in RNAcentral is "bacterial SSU rRNA". It matches the Rfam family "Bacterial small subunit ribosomal RNA", at positions 22 to 518 of the family's 1533-position model. The record is from RNAcentral.
GGUCAGGAUGAACGCUAGCUACAGGCUUAACACAUGCAAGUCGAGGGGCAGCAUGAUCAAAGCUUGCUUGAUUGAUGGCGACCGGCGCACGGGUGAGUAACGCGUAUCCAACCUUCCCUUAGUAGGGCAUAGCCCGGCGAAAGUCGGAUUAAUACCCUAUGUUAUUCGUCGAGGACAUCUGAAGUGAAUCAAAGAUUUAUCGCUAAGGGAUGGGGAUGCGUCUGAUUAGGUUGUUGGCGGGGUAACGGCCACCAAGCCAUCGAUCAGUAGGGUUCUGAGAGGAAGGUCCCCCACAUUGGUACUGAGACACGGACCAAACUCCUACGGGAGGCAGCAGUGAGGAAUAUUGGUCAAUGGGCGAGAGCCUGAACCAGCCAAGUAGCGUGCAGGAUGACUGCCCUAUGGGUUGUAAACUGCUUUUAUACGGGGAUAAAGUGAGGUAUGCAUACCUUUUUGUAGGUACCGUAUGAAUAAGGACCGGCUAAUUCCGUGCCAGCCGCUGC